This is a long non-coding RNA of Xiphophorus hellerii (green swordtail), 656 nucleotides long. RefSeq lists it as uncharacterized. The record is from RefSeq and is a predicted model, not a curated record. NCBI's taxonomy places the organism in Eukaryota, Metazoa, Chordata, Actinopteri, Cyprinodontiformes, Poeciliidae. The transcript is spliced from 3 exons.
GCUAGGGUGUGCAAGUGAUCACAAGCUAAAUAAUAAUGCUAAAUAAUAAUCUUAUAAUAAUAAAUUAUCUACUCUCUAGGAAUAGAGUGGUUUCGGAGGUUUCUUGCAUGUUGCCAUCUGUCUGUCCAAACUCCAGAGGCAACAUCCCUGGGAAGGGCUACAGCCUUCAAUAAAACUACAGUAGGGGAGUUCUUUGACAAUCUGGCUGUAGUGAUGGACAGGCACACAUUCCCUCCACACAUGAUUUACAAUGUAGAUUAAACCGGCGUCUUUACAGUUCAAAAGCCACGACAGGUUGUGACAGAGAAAGGAAAAAAGCAAGUUGGUUCUAUCACAUCAUCUGAGAGGGGAGAACUAGUGACUGUGGUGUGUGCAGUGAAUGCUGCUGGGAAUGCCAUACCUCCUAUGUUUGUCUUCCCCAGAGUUAGGUUUAAGGAUGACUUCCUGAUAGGAGCACCUCCAGGAGCCAAAGGUGCCUCCACCAGAACAGGAUGGAUGAAUGAAGACAAGUUCCGAUUAUGGGUCCAUGUUCUGAGACCCAGACUGUGCAUUAGCUGGUUCUGCUUGUACUUUGCUCUUGACACCCAGAUACUAGCUAAAGGUCCUGUGCUAUGAUUCUCACACUGUGAAUGUUAAUUAAAACAUUUUGAAGUAUA